CAGGCUUAACACAUGCAAGUCGAGGGGCAGCAUUUUAGUUUGCUUGCAAACUAAAGAUGGCGACCGGCGCACGGGUGAGUAACACGUAUCCAACCUGCCGAUAACUCGGGGAUAGCCUUUCGAAAGAAAGAUUAAUAUCCGAUAGUAUAUUUUCUCCGCAUGGCGAGAAUAUUAAAGAAUUUCGGUUAUCGAUGGGGAUGCGUUCCAUUAGUUUGUUGGCGGGGUAACGGCCCACCAAGACUACGAUGGAUAGGGGUUCUGAGAGGAAGGUCCCCCACAUUGGAACUGAGACACGGUCCAAACUCCUACGGGAGGCAGCAGUGAGGAAUAUUGGUCAAUGGACGAGAGUCUGAACCAGCCAAGUAGCGUGAAGGAUGACUGCCCUAUGGGUUGUAAACUUCUUUUAUAUGGGAAUAAAGUAUUCCACGUGUGGGAUUUUGUAUGUACCAUAUGAAUAAGGAUCGGCUAACUCCGUGCCAGCAGCCGCGGUAAUACGGAGGAUCCGAGCGUUAUCCGGAUUUAUUGGGUUUAAAGGGAGCGUAGGUGGAUUGUUAAGUCAGUUGUGAAAGUUUGCGGCUCAACCGUAAAAUUGCAGUUGAAACUGGCAGUCUUGAGUACAGUAGGGGUGGGCGGAAUUCGUGGUGUAGCGGUGAAAUGCUUAGAUAUCACGAAGAA
Molecule: ribosomal RNA, 675 nt
Filed under: uncultured bacterium
Lineage: Bacteria
Description: bacterial SSU rRNA
Rfam family: Bacterial small subunit ribosomal RNA
Source: RNAcentral